UCCUCCAAGGCUAAAUACUCCUGACUGACCGAUAGUGAACCAGUACCGUGAGGGAAAGGCGAAAAGAACCCCGGCGAGGGGAGUGAAAAAGAACCUGAAACCGUGUACGUACAAGCAGUGGGAGCACAGGUUUACCUGUGUGACUGCGUACCUUUUGUAUAAUGGGUCAGCGACUUAUAUUCUGUAGCAAGGUUAACCGAAUAGGGGAGCCGGAGGGAAACCGAGUCUUAAUUGGGCGUUAAGUUGCAGGGUAUAGACCCGAAACCCGGUGAUCUAGCCAUGGGCAGGUUGAAGGUUGGGUAACACUAACUGGAGGACCGAACCGACUAAUGUUGAAAAA
This 340-nucleotide ribosomal RNA is filed under the name Salmonella enterica subsp. enterica serovar Corvallis. Its description in RNAcentral is "partial 23S ribosomal RNA". It matches the Rfam family "Bacterial large subunit ribosomal RNA", at positions 456 to 796 of the family's 2925-position model. Lineage: Bacteria; Pseudomonadati; Pseudomonadota; Gammaproteobacteria; Enterobacterales; Enterobacteriaceae. The record is from RNAcentral.